GACGAACGCUGGCGGCGUGCCUAAUACAUGCAAGUAGAACGCUGAAGAGAGGAGCUUGCUCUUCUUGGAUGAGUUGCGAACGGGUGAGUAACGCGUAGGUAACCUGCCUUGUAGCGGGGGAUAACUAUUGGAAACGAUAGCUAAUACCGCAUAACAAUGGAUGACACAUGUCUUUUAUUUGAAAGGGGCAAUUGCUCCACUACAAGAUGGACCUGCGUUGUAUUAGCUAGUAGGUGAGGUAAUGGCUCACCUAGGCGACGAUACAUAGCCGACCUGAGAGGGGGAUCGGCCACACCGGGACUGAGACACGGCCCAAAAUCCUACGGGAGGCAGCAGUAGGGAAUCUUCGGCAAUGGGGGCAACCCUGACCGAGCAACGCCGCGUGAGUGAAGAAGGUUUUCGGAUCGUAAAGCUCUGUUGUAAGUCAAGAACGGGUGUGAGAGUGGAAAGUUCACACUGUGACGGUAGCUUACCAGAAAGGGACGGCUAACUACGUG
RNAcentral lists this ribosomal RNA (497 nucleotides) under uncultured bacterium. Its description in RNAcentral is "partial 16S ribosomal RNA". It matches the Rfam family "Bacterial small subunit ribosomal RNA", at positions 28 to 507 of the family's 1533-position model. The record is from RNAcentral.